GAUGAACGCUGGCGGCGUGCCUAAUACAUGCAAGUCGAGCGAACAGACGAGGAGCUUGCUCCUCUGACGUUAGCGGCGGACGGGUGAGUAACACGUGGAUAACCUACCUAUAAGACUGGGAUAACUUCGGGAAACCGGAGCUAAUACCGGAUAAUAUAUUGAACCGCAUGGUUCAAUAGUGAAAGACGGUUUUGCUGUCACUUAUAGAUGGAUCCGCGCCGCAUUAGCUAGUUGGUAAGGUAACGGCUUACCAAGGCGACGAUGCGUAGCCGACCUGAGAGGGUGAUCGGCCACACUGGAACUGAGACACGGUACAGAAUCCUACGGGAGGCAGCAGUAGGGAAUCUUCCGCAAUGGGCGAAAGCCUGACGGAGCAACGCCGCGUGAGUGAUGAAGGUCUGCGGAUCGUAAAACUCUGUUAUUAGGGAAGAACAAAUGUGUAAGUAACUAUGCACGUCUUGACGGUACCUAAUCAGAAAGCCACGGCUAACUACG
This 495-nucleotide ribosomal RNA is filed under the name uncultured bacterium. RNAcentral describes it as "partial 16S ribosomal RNA". It matches the Rfam family "Bacterial small subunit ribosomal RNA", at positions 28 to 505 of the family's 1533-position model. The record is from RNAcentral.